UGGGCUAUUCCACCCGGCCUAUACAUGCAGUCGAACGGUUGUCAGCAAUGGCAAUAGUGGCGCACGGGUGCGUAACGCGUAACCAACCUACCCGAAUCUGGGGGAUAGCCCGCCGAAAGGCGGAUUAAUACCGCAUAAAACUGCAGCACGGCAUCGUGUAACAGUUAAAGAUUUAUUGGAUUCGGAUGGGGUUGCGUGCCAUUAGCUAGUUGGGGGGGUAACGGCCCACCAAGGCGACGAUGGCUAGGGGAGCUGAGAGGCUGGUCCCCCACACGGGCACUGAGAUACGGGCCCGACUCCUACGGGAGGCAGCAGUAGGGAAUAUUGGGCAAUGGUCGAGAGACUGACCCAGCCAUGCCGCGUGCAGGAUGAAGGCUUUCUGAGUCGUAAACUGCUUUUACCAGGGAAGAAAAAAGGGGAUGCGUCCUCUACUGACGGUACCUGGUGAAUAAGCACCGGCUAACUCCGUGCCAGCAGCCGCGGUAAUACGGAGGGUGCAAGCGUUGUCCGGAUUUAUUGGGUUUAAAGGGUGCGUAGGCGGCUGAUUAAGUCUGGGGUGAAAGCCCGUUGCUCAACAACGGAACUGCCCUGGAAACUGGUUAGCUUGAGUACAGACGAGGGUGGUGGAAUGGAUACUGUAGCGGUGAAAUGCAUAGAUAGUAUCCAGAACCCCGAUUGCGAAGGCAGCUGCCUAGACUGUAACUGACGCUGAGGCACGAAAGCGUGGGGAGCGAACAGGAUUAGAUACCCUGGUAGUCCACGCCGUAAACGAUGGAUACUCGCUGGUGGCGACAGACUGUCACUGGCUUAGCGAAAGCGUUAAGUAUCCCACCUGGGGAGUACGCUCGCAAGAGUGAAACUCAAAAGAAUUGACGGGGGCCCGCACAAGUGGUGGAGCAUGUGGUUUAAUUCGAUGAUACGCGAGGAACCUUACCUAGGCUAGAAUGCGCGUGACCGGUCCAGAGAUGGACCU
Molecule: ribosomal RNA, 973 nt
Filed under: uncultured bacterium
Lineage: Bacteria
Description: bacterial SSU rRNA
Rfam family: Bacterial small subunit ribosomal RNA
Source: RNAcentral